UGCCAGCCGCCGCGGUAAUACGGAGGGUGCAAGCGUUGUUCGGAAUCAUUGGGCGUAAAGCGCGUGUAGGCGGCCAAGUAAGUCUGAUGUGAAAGCCCGGGGCUUAACCCCGGAAGUGCAUUGGAUACUGCUUGGCUAGAGGGCGAGAGGGGGAAGCGGAAUUCCUGGUGUAGGGGUGAAAUCCGUAGAUAUCAGGAGGAACAUCAGAGGCGAAGGCGGCUUCCUGGCUCGCUACUGACGCUGAGACGCGAAAGCGUGGGGAGCAAACAGGAUUAGAUA
This 279-nucleotide ribosomal RNA is filed under the name uncultured bacterium. RNAcentral's name for it is "partial 16S ribosomal RNA". It matches the Rfam family "Bacterial small subunit ribosomal RNA", at positions 506 to 784 of the family's 1533-position model. The record is from RNAcentral.